AACACAUGCAAGUCGCGGGGCAGCAUGUGGUUGCUGCAACCAAUGAUGGCGACCGGCGCACGGGUGAGUAACGCGUAUCCAACCUGGGCCCAUAGUAGGGGAUAGCCCGGCGAAAGUCGGAUUAAUACCCUAUGUUCUCUUUGAAGGACAUCUGAAAUGAAGCAAAGGUUCACCGCUAUGGGAUGGGGAUGCGUCUGAUUAGCUUGCCGGCGGGUAACGGCCCACCGGGGCAACGAUCAGUAGGGGUUCUGAGAGGAAGGUCCCCCACACUGGUACUGAGACACGGACCAGACUCCUACAGGAGGCAGCAGUGAGGAAUAUUGGUCAAUGGGCGAGAGCCUGAACCAGCCAAGUAGCGUGCAGGAUGACUGCCCUAUGGGUUGUAAACUGUCUUUUAUAGGGGAAUAAAGUGAGGUAUGCAUACCUUUUGUAUGUACCCUAUGAAUAAGGACCGGCUAAUUCCGUGCCAGCCGCCGC
This 477-nucleotide ribosomal RNA is filed under the name uncultured bacterium. Its description in RNAcentral is "bacterial SSU rRNA". It matches the Rfam family "Bacterial small subunit ribosomal RNA", at positions 50 to 518 of the family's 1533-position model. The record is from RNAcentral.